Molecule: ribosomal RNA, 253 nt
Filed under: uncultured bacterium
Lineage: Bacteria
Description: partial 16S ribosomal RNA
Rfam family: Bacterial small subunit ribosomal RNA
Source: RNAcentral
UACAGAGGUCUCAAGCGUUGUUCGGAAUCACUGGGCGUAAAGGGUGCGUAGGCCGCACGGUAAGUCAGAGGUGAAAUCCCGGAGCUCAACUCCGGAAUGGCCUCCGAUACUGCCGUGCUCGAGGACUGGAGAGGAGACUGGAAUUCACAGUGGAGCAGUGAAAUGCGUAGAUAUUGUGAGGAACACUAGUGGCGAAGGCGACUUCCUGGCCUGUUCUUGACGCUGAGGCGCGAAAGCUAGGGUAGCAAACGGG